GGUAGACAAAACAACUGUAGCUUGUAAUGUUGCCUUUCAACUGAUAGCACUUCCAAAAAGAGUAAACAAAUAACCUUUCAAAGAUCUUCUCUUGUCUAAGUCCUCUAUCAAAUGUCAGACCAACUUCUGUAGUACCUUUCAAAUACCUUAAAAUCCAUUUUACUGCCUGCCAAUGCUCUUUCCCAAGACACGCUAUGUAUCUACUUAUAACACUAACUAUAUGUGAAAUGUCAGGUCGGGUGUAAACCAUAGCAUACAUGAUGCUACCA
RNAcentral lists this unclassified non-coding RNA (269 nucleotides) under Hevea brasiliensis (rubber tree). Lineage: Eukaryota; Viridiplantae; Streptophyta; Magnoliopsida; Malpighiales; Euphorbiaceae. The record is from RNAcentral.